GCUCGCUCGCGCGACUGGCGACCUUGGAUGGAGCACCAUCGGGAAGCGCGGGACUUAAGACGCCGCGCGCCUGGGCAUAGACA
This is a non-coding RNA of Bradyrhizobium japonicum, 83 nucleotides long. The record is from Rfam. Lineage: Bacteria; Pseudomonadati; Pseudomonadota; Alphaproteobacteria; Hyphomicrobiales; Nitrobacteraceae.